GCAUGGGUUUGGAUUUAUGGCAGGCCCAUCCCCUCUGGGCCUCACAUAGUGUCCCAUGCUGGAGCAAACUGGCCCGGAACCAUUGCCUGGCUUCUGCCUGUAGGCUGCAGGCACUGAAGCGGGCUGCACAGUG
Physeter macrocephalus (sperm whale) is the source of this 133-nucleotide small nucleolar RNA. Lineage: Eukaryota; Metazoa; Chordata; Mammalia; Artiodactyla; Physeteridae. The record is from Ensembl.